AAGUAGGGGAUCGUAAGACCUUGCGCUUUUGGAGCGGCCGAUGUCUGAUUAGCUAGUUGGUGGGGUAAUGGCCUACCAAGGCUACGAUCAGUAGCUGGUCUGAGAGGACGGCCAGCCACACUGGGACUGAGACACGGCCCAGACUCCUACGGGAGGCAGCAGUGGGGAAUUUUGGACAAUGGGCGCAAGCCUGAUCCAGCCAUGCCGCGUGAGUGAAGAAGGCCUUCGGGUUGUAAAGCUCUUUCAGCCGGGAAGAAAAGGUUGCGACUAAUAAUCGCAAUUCAUGACGGUACCGAAAGAAGAAGCACCGGCUAACUACGUGCCAGCAGCCGCGGUAAUACGUAGGGUGCGAGCGUUAAUCGGAAUUACUGGGCGUAAAGGGUGCGCAGGCGGUUUUGUAAGUCAGAUGUGAAAUCCCCGGGCUUAACCUGGGAACUGCGUUUGAAACUACAAAGCUUAG
This 460-nucleotide ribosomal RNA is filed under the name uncultured ammonia-oxidizing beta proteobacterium. Its description in RNAcentral is "bacterial SSU rRNA". It matches the Rfam family "Bacterial small subunit ribosomal RNA", at positions 202 to 645 of the family's 1533-position model. The record is from RNAcentral. Lineage: Bacteria; Pseudomonadati; Pseudomonadota; Betaproteobacteria.